AGGUCCCCGCGCUGGGCGGAAGGAGGAUGGGUGUUUAGGACCCGUGAGCGGCUUGGUGGGGCGGAUACUCUCCGCUCCUGGGCGAGGUUUCCUGUUCCCUGCCGCCGGCUCCGGCCCUGGACCCAUGCGCGCUGGGGCGGGGGUGUUAUUUCGGGUGCCCUGGGGCCUUGGGGCCGUGAGGAUGGGGGCUCUGGGGCCCAGAGGCCGUGGGGUCUGGGGCUCUGGGGCCGGGGUACCAUGGGAUCGGGUGCUCUGGGGGCUGGAGGCCGUGGGGUCGGGGGCUCUGGAGCCCAGGGCACCGACAAGGCCCUGGGAUGAGUCACAUGGCUUUUCUAAGCCCUGGUCCUGGGGGUCACGCUCCCUGUCUCGCUUCCCUCGGAAGGUUUCCUGAGUGUAAGUCAGAAAGCUUAGUAAGUCGUGAAGCUCCUCGUGGUGAUGGAUCUUGGGGUCCUGGGACCCCCAUGGGAGAAAAGUGUUGAGGGGAGGUGGUGGGGACCCAGUUCUUUGAUGCCAGUCAGUUGGAUGCCGGGUGACUUGGCUAGGUAGUUCCUCUUUGGCGUCGGUUUUCUUCUAUUUUCUUUUUGCUUUUUUUAUUUGUAUUUUUAGGGCCACACCUGCAGCUUAUGGCGGUUCUCAUGCCAGGGGUGGAAUCGGAGCUGUAGCCUCCAGCCUACGCUGCUGCCUCAGCAACGCCAGAUCUGAGCCGCGUCUGCAAUCAAACCACAGCUCUUGGCAAGACUGGAUCCUUAACCCACUGAGCGAGGCCAGGGAUAGAACCUGCAUCCUCGUAGAUACUAGUCAGAUUCCUUUCCUCUGAGCCACAACGGGAACGCUUGGCCUCGGUUUUCCACCUGCGGUUCCAUUAGGAGCUUUCCAGCUCUUUUAGCUCAGCCUCCAAAGUUCGGCCUCAGUCAAGGGGCCAGCUUGCAAAGGCACUGACUUAGGGACCAGAGCUCCAUUUCUACUCUGGGGCCAAAAUCUCUGGGGGUGAGAUAGUCAUUUGCCUUUGCGGGCCAUGUUCCUUCUCCAUAAAAUAAUGACACGCCUUUCUGCUAGUAAGGUUGAACUGAGAUAAGGUAUAUAAUAAACGUUAAUAGGUUUUAAAAGAUUAAGCCACAGGUGGUUUCCUCUCUAGGGGCCUUCCCUCUUCUGAUUUCUCUGGCUGGGUCACCCUUCUGGCUUUUCAUGUGACAGGCUCUUCAUCCAGAUCCAGCUGUUAACUCAGACUGGCUGUAGCUGUCUACGCUAUAUAGAGUUUUCCUUCACUGUUUCUCUCUGCCUUUGCAGCACUCCCCAGCACCCCUGUUACACACUGCGAGUAGCCCCUCGUUAGGAUUAGCUUCAGGGGAGCAGGGUUUUGUUGGGAUCACCCGAGCAUCCCCAGUGUCUAGAAAAGCCUGGCACACAAUGGGCCAAAUACUGAUCCAUAUCUGUAGAAUAAGUGGCCCAGGAGCUGAGCAUGACCAGGCAAAUGUCUUCCACCGAGGAGAUCUGCUGUACCUCCCUUGGUUACUUGAUAAGCCCCCCUCUUGGUUACUCCUGAACAUGUGCUGAUCUUGGGGUUGCUAGGCUCACCUGGCAAUUUCCUUGGUUUCCGGAAGUGGGAUAAGGCCCUGAGUUAACUCCCAGUCCUCUUCUCUUUCUGAGUCUCAGUUUUCUCAUCUGUAAAAUGAGGAUAGUUCAGCAUUCUCUGCUUCAGAAGGCUGUUGGAGAUCUUGAAUCUAAUUAUGUAUGCCAGGGUGUCUAGUGAUCUACCCCAACUGUGUUUCUAGGGGGUUCCCCUGUGGCACAGCAGGUUCAAUAUCUGGCAUUGUCACUACAGUGGCUCAAGUCACUGCUGUGGCUUGAGUUUGAUCCCUGGCCUGGGAACUUCCAUGUGCCAUGAGCAUGGCCCAAAAGAAAAACAAAAUUGUUUUUUUAGACCAUAGCAAUGGAAGGAUAUAGGAUGGAGUAAGUCUAAUCUGGUGGAUAGAUGACCAGCUGAGAGGGUAUAUAAGCAGCCAGGGAGAGGGUGGGAGCCAGGCCAAGGGUGGGCUGAUCUCUAAGUAGAGGCCUGGGGUGAGAUAAAGCAGAGCAUUUUCAAGGAGUCAGAUUCAGUUCAGUGGCUGGAGCACAGAAGUAGCAGAGGAGGGGAGUGGUAGCAAGAAUUAAGGCUGGAAAGCACAGUUCCUUCUUUGGCUCAGCAGUGACACUGACUACUGUCCAUGAGGAUGCCAUUCAAUCCCAGGCCUUGCUCAGUGGGUUAAGAAUCUGGCUUUGCUAUGACCUACAAUGUAGGUCGCAGACACAGCUUGGAUGCGCUGUGGCUGUGGCUGUGGCCGGCAGCUACAGCUCCCGUUCAACCCCCUAGCCUGGGAACUUGCAUAUACUGCAGGUGCAGCCCUAAGAAAACCAAAAACAAAAAAACAAAAAAACAAAAAAAACAAAACCUGGGAGGCAGGCAGGGCAAAAUCAUGUAGACUUUGGGGAGGAGUGUGGACUUGCUUCUAAGGGCAGUGGGAGCCAUGGAAGCUUGGUUGUUGGGAGGAGUAGGAGGUGGGGGAGGGGGAAUCAGGUGUUGGGCUAGCUCAGUGAUUUUUGAACUGUGGGUUGCAGUCUAGUAGUGGUUAUAAAAUCAAUUUAGAGGCUCAUAAACAGCACAAAAACAUGAAGAGAAAAUAGACUGGUUCUUUGCAUUCUGAGAUGAAUUUUAGGGUUAGCUUGUCAAAUUGUUGUCUGAAACCUUCAAGUGUUUUGGGUGGGGUUACUUGGGAAUAGUUGACGUCGCAGUAUUUGCCCUUCCACUCUACUAAAAUCUCAUAGUUUUCUGAUAUCCUCUGUAAAGAUCAUACACACGUUUUGUUAGAUUUAUUUUUUAUUUUUUUGAUGCCAUUAUUGUCUGUUUUAAAAUUCCACUUGCAAAUUGUUUGUUGCUAGGAAUACAAAUUUAAAAGACAUUUUGGGAGUUCCCAUUGUGGCUUGGUGGUAACAAACCCUAUGGAUAUGGGUUUGAUCCCUGGCCUCACUCAGUGGGUUAAGGAUCUAGUAUUGCUGUGAGCUGUGGUGUAGGUUGCAGACGCAGCUAGGAUCUGGCGUUGCUGUGGCUGUGUGGUGGUGUAGGAUGGCACAUGCAGCUCAGAUCAGACCCCUAGCCUGGGAACUUCCAUAUGCCACACAUGCAGCCCUAAAAAGCCAAAAAUAAAAGUAAAAAAAUUUUGUUU
This 3200-nucleotide long non-coding RNA is filed under the name Sus scrofa (pig). RNAcentral's name for it is "lncRNA (ENSSSCG00000062741.1)". The record is from RNAcentral. Lineage: Eukaryota; Metazoa; Chordata; Mammalia; Artiodactyla; Suidae.